GGGGGGGGGGGGGGGAGGCUUUUAGGGUCGUCCUCGAUGUUUCUUUCUUAAAUAUAAUUAGAUGCGCCUCAUUACCUCCACUGAAGGACUUUUGUGCUUUCUGCGCUGUGUCUCCAGAGAUCUUCGACGAGCCACAGCUUGUCGUGUUCUCUUCGCAUUUGAUCAUAUUAGCUGUUAUUUUUUCCCCCCUUCCCCUUGACACAUUUGUACUCUCUGUUCGCUCUCCCUCAGAUAUCUGGAGUUGAUUUUGCUGGUUUGAAAGGCCACACCCAGGGAGCGUGUUUGGGGCCUCCUUGGGAUGAAGGCACUGUAUUCCACAGGCCCUUCCCAGUUUCCCUUAACGCUCCCCCCCCACCCCCCUGGACACUUUGUUAACAAGGCUGUGCUCUAGUGUAUUCUAGGGUCAAGACCUCUGGUUCUCUAUAAAACCCAGACGAACAACUAUAUCACAUGAAACGCAGAGCCGGUCCCCGGGGAACACGCUGUGGCUACUGUUCUGAAGCCAACCACCGAGGCCCAGACGGCUCACCAGGCACAUCUACUCAGAUUCGGCCAAAGCCACAACAUGGAUGGCUGUCGUACAUCUGCGAGGAGAGGGAAACGGAAAGGCCCACCUGUCAGUUCUGCCUGUCCUUCAUUUCUGUAAGAUUUGGGAAUGGUGGUGGGGUAGCAACCCCCUAAAAUAAUGGAAACACCCAACCCUUGCUUAUUUAUUUUGCUUCCUUCAUUGGGCCUUGUUCUGAAAACAAACUAACGCCCUGAGUUUCCGGGAUUCAAAACUUCUCAAGCGGGCGAGCGUCUUCCAGGCUUUCGAUGGAGUUGAGGAGUUGAGGAUGGUUUCAGGCGAGGGGACCUCUCUUCCCCCAGGGGAGCUGGGCUUACAUUUUUGUUAUGUUCAUAUGUAUGAAGGUAUUUUUCUUUAUUUCAACACAGGGCCUUCCUAUGUAGCCCAAGCUGCUCUGGAACUUGCCAUGUAGUCCAAGUCUUCCUAGAACUUGCCAUGUAGCCCAAGUUGCUCUAGAACUUGCUAAGGAGCCCAAGCUGCUCUAGAACUUGCUAUGUAGACCACACUGGUCUCACCUUGUCUUUCAGACCUUCCUGCCUCUGCUUCCUCAGUGCUGGUUGACAAAACAUUCAACCCUGCAUUUCUUUUCCCUAAUUGCAGUUUCUUGAUGGUAGUUAUCUCUUCCUUGGUCAUAGGGGGAAGAUGGCCUGGUGAUCUCAUUGGUUGCUGGAUCAGGUAGGAUGUGUGUGUGUGUGUGUGUGUGUGUGUGUGUGUGUGUCCCUGCUUAAAAAUGUGGAGGAGUACAGGGAAAUCAAAGACAGCCAUAGGCAGCAGGUAUCUAAGUUAGACUGGAUGAGGCAGGAUGCUGGUGGCAUAUCUACAAACUCUCUCAUUCCAGGGAUUCUGUUCCUCAACCCCACUUCCCUUUCUUGAAUGGUAGAAAUUACUUGGGAUUAGGUUAGAAUCUAUGUGUUUUCUUUCUGUGCCCUCACUGUUUGGCUGCCUCUUGUCUCUCAACAAAGUCAAAACAGGCCUACAAACCCUUUGUUGCCUCCAUCACCUCUACUGGAAGCUUCUCGGCACAGCCACAAGGCACUUGCUAGAAACCUACCACGCCUUCCUUCUCAAUGCUCCUCCACUUUCUCUGGGGCACCCCUGCACUCCAAUCAUCAAUGGCAGCUGUAGGGAUCCUUACACAGUCCACAUUUAGGUUAAGCCUAGCUCCCUGCUGAAAACUGUGCUGGUCCCUGUCUGCUUCUGUUUGAUCUUGACGCCAUGCUAGCUUCAUUUCUCUCACUAGCAAAGUGGGAGAAUAAUGAUGCCUUCUACAGGGGUAGGAGGGAUGAACACAUGCAUGCACGUGUGUGCGCGCAUGCGGGCACACACACACACAACACACACACACACACACACAAACACACACGUCGUCUGUGCGCCAGCAGUUGCUCCGUAAGUACAAGUGCCAUUAACAUUUGUCAAUCUGAAUUUGCCAAGGACGUGCCUGAUUCAAGGCCUUCAUAAAGCCCUCUGUCGAGUCUCUUUUUCUCUUUGUGCAGCUGACUUUUCCUUAUCUUUCAAGUUCAAGUUUAAAGGUUAACCUUUCCGAAGUCUUCCCCGACUCAUCUAUUUACACGUAUUUAAUCCCCGUUCCUAUUCUUUCCUCCCAUAGUGCCCGAUUCCUUUCCAUCCUAGCACUUUUUCUAACUUGUGACUGCAUGUUGUUUGUUUACCUGGGAGCAGGCCUACAUUUAAUAUCCGUAUCCAGUACGGGAAUAUUUGUGGAAUGAAUGCAUGAACGAGAGAGCUUUAUACCUUUCAUCUUGGAACAUCAAAGCCCCCUUCCUUAUCUCCUGCAUCACAUUCUUCUCCCCCAGUCCGGUAUUUAUCCGUUUCCCCACCCUUUGCCAUUACUGACCUGCUAACGGCAGCGAGCUGGGAAAUGGAAACUCUCUAAAUCACCCACUCCUGCCCCACCACUCUCUCACUUCUGGGCUCUUCUCUCUUGCUCCUGGGCCAGCUUCUCCUUUGAGAGCCUCACACUUUUCCUUUAUAUGUAAAUGAUAAAUAAUAGAAUAUGUAAUAUACCGAGCGAGUCCAAGGACUAAUAACUCUUCUUCUGCCAAGUUAGAAGAGUUUGGGAAUAAAUUAACUCAUCCUCUACCAUUAAGAGAUCAAUGCCUGGGCAAUUAGUCCAGGAAUAGCUAAGCACAGGUAUCUCACACACCUCCCUGGAAGACUCAAAUGGUGGAGGAAGUCAGGGGGAACAGAAAUUCUACUUCCUAGACUUGGCCUUCAUCGUGUCCAUCUUGGGUGCACAGAGCAUCCCCCUGAAGCUGCGUGAGCCAGCCUAUGGAUCCCUCCUUCAUGCCUGCUUUCUUCCUUUCUCUCUUUCUCGCUCAUAGCCAAGAACACCAAGAUGGAAAAUGCCUUCAACUGAAUUUUUUAUUAUUUAUUGAUUUAGCCUGUAGUUCUAUCUUUCUCUCUUCUCAAGCCUCCUCCAUGCACUUUGCUAAUUACUUCUCUGGAAGCCACCUCACUUCCCACGCCGCAGCACGGGAAGGAACAUGGUCGUGUGAUGGACUGUAGGCUAGACAUCAGCUAGGCAUCAAGAAAUGUCUUCUGGCCGAAGGGAUGGUCCCACCCUACUCAUUCAUCUAAUGCACCGUGAAGGAAAUGAUGCAACAGUGAGAAGGAUCUGAGCAACCCUUUCCUCUCACAGACACAGCAUAUAGGUAAGCGUCUUUGUCAUUCAUUUUGGGCCUUACUAAUACCAUCAAGUAACCCGGUCUCUCUCAUUUGCACAUUCAAGGCUUUCAGAUCCCAUUGUAUGAUCAGAAGAUAAAGCCUUGAUAUCUCAUAGAUGAAAAUGUUCAAUGCUUUGAGUUAUUAGGAGCGGCCCAAAUAUUGAUUACUUUCUUAAGAAGGAGACAAUCAAGACCUCUUACAUUACCCAGAAAAGACGUUUCCACUGGUUUGUAGGUGCUUGCCUGAGUGGGCACUAUCUCAAUGGGUUUUACUGAAAUGAACUUUCUAGAACUUCAUGGUGGGGCCUUGAGGGAAGCAAAGAUGAUGCUGGUGUUUCCUUUAGGAGACGUUUUCAUCAUCAGUGCACUUCAAUCCAGACCAAUCAAGCUUCUGGUGUUAGCCUUGAAUCAGUGAGGUAGCCAAGCUCCAGUUAACUCAGGAAGUAAAGAGAAUGCUGAAUGUCUACCAGGCAUAGGAAGUGAGAAAGGUGUGGGCUUUGUUUGCAAGGGUUUUGCUCCUCCCACCACUAUUCUUCGUCUGUAUGAAGUACGUGUGUGUGUGUGCAUGUAUGUGUGUCGAUGUGCUUUCACAUAUGUGCCCAUGCACAUGAAGGCCUAUGGAUGAUGUCAGCAAUUAUCCUCCAUUGUUCUUCCACCUUUCCUACAUCGAGGCAGGAUCUUUCAAGCAAACCCAGAGCUCGCUGAUAUGACUACUCUGGCUAGCCAGCUUGCUUAGGGGGAUCCCCUAUCUCUGCCGUCUCAGGCUAGAAUUACAGGUACCACGCCCCACCCAGCAUUCACACGAGUUCUGAGAUCCAGACUCUGGUCCUCAUGUUUGACAGACAAGCACUUAACCACUGAGUCACCUCCCCAAGUUGUUUUCAAGGAAUCUAAAACAGAAUGGAGGAGACAUAGAUGGCCUCUUCCACAUGAAGCAGUGCUAACUAGAACAUCACGGAGGUCAUGUUGGCUGGAAGUGGCAGAGGCACAAACGAAGAAGCCCUGCUCUGGGUAAGGGACACCUGGAGCAGCCGUAAGAGAGAGCCUCAUCAGCUCACUUCCCCAUGUGCACCGGAAUACUCUUCCAAAUGAAUAGAAUGUCAAGUGUUAUCUGCGGACUGAUAGCUUCUGCCAAUUGCUUCUGGCAUGAAACUCUACCAUUCCUAGUCUGAAUAGAAUUUAUCUUCUCUUCCCCAGUGCCCUCUUCUCAAACACUCAUUGGCCGGUUUCUAUUUCAGAUCAAGUGUAACAACCAAUUUUAAAAAUUUAUUCGCCCAUGGCCUGAUCCCCAAAUCCUUCUCUUCUGAAGCGCUGGCCUCUUGAUAUGUUUCCAAACUUGUCAUGUUCAUCCUCAAAUGUAAUAUUGAAAGUUUAAUAUAAUAUUGUCUAUGUAUGUUGACCACUGAGUUGAUUGAUUUCCCCUGUGUCUUAGGGUUUCUGUUGCUGCGAAGAGACGCCAUGACCAUGGCAACUGUUACAAGGAAAACAUUUAAUUGCCGUGACUUGCUGACAGUUUCAGAGGUUCAGUUCAUCAGCAUCAUGUUGGGGAGCAUGGUGGCAGCCAACUCUUGGAUUCAGGGGUCACCAAGGAGCGACUUGUUCCAGAAAGCUUAGACUUACUACUAUACGAGGAUCCAAGUUCUGAAGCACUUAAACAACUGGGAAGAGACUCGGGAUUUAGCUCCAUUACAAGCCACAGCUGGAAUGUGAAGUUGAAGACAGCUUGCCAUAGUCAGGUCUCUUUCCACGAUGUGCAUCCCGGCAGUUGGACUUGGUUGCUGGGCUUGGGAGCGACCACCUUUACCCGCUGCGCCACCCGGCAGGUCUCCUUUUACU
Alexandromys fortis (reed vole) is the source of this 5085-nucleotide long non-coding RNA. RefSeq lists it as uncharacterized. The transcript has 3 exons. NCBI's taxonomy places the organism in Eukaryota, Metazoa, Chordata, Mammalia, Rodentia, Cricetidae. The record is from RefSeq and is a predicted model, not a curated record.